AUCGGAACGUGUCCUGUAGUGGGGGAUAGCCCGGCGAAAGCCGGAUUAAUACCGCAUACGCUCUACGGAGGAAAGGGGGGGAUCUUAGGACCUCCCGCUACAGGGGCGGCCGAUGGCAGAUUAGCUAGUUGGUGGGGUAAAGGCCUACCAAGGCGACGAUCUGUAGCUGGUCUGAGAGGACGACCAGCCACACUGGGACUGAGACACGGCCCAGACUCCUACGGGAGGCAGCAGUGGGGAAUUUUGGACAAUGGGGGAAACCCUGAUCCAGCAAUGCCGCGUGUGUGAAGAAGGCCUUCGGGUUGUAAAGCACUUUUGUCCGGAAAGAAAUCCUCUUCGCUAAUACCGAGGGGGGAUGACGGUACCGGAAGAAUAAGCACCGGCUAACUACGUGCCAGCAGCCGCGGUAAUACGUAGGGUGCAAGCGUUAAUCGGAAUUACUGGGCGUAAAGCGUGCGCAGGCGGUUCGCUAAGACAGAUGUGAAAUCCCCGGGCUUAACCUGGGAACUGCAUUUGUGACUGGCGGGCUAGAGUAUGGCAGAGGGGGGUAGAAUUCCACGUGUAGCAGUGAAAUGCGUAGAGAUGUGGAGGAAUACCGAUGGCGAAGGCAGCCCCCUGGGCCAAUACUGACGCUCAGC
RNAcentral lists this ribosomal RNA (638 nucleotides) under Paraburkholderia sp. RNAcentral describes it as "bacterial SSU rRNA". It matches the Rfam family "Bacterial small subunit ribosomal RNA", at positions 117 to 752 of the family's 1533-position model. Lineage: Bacteria; Pseudomonadati; Pseudomonadota; Betaproteobacteria; Burkholderiales; Burkholderiaceae. The record is from RNAcentral.